UCCUCCGCCUUCCGCAUCCAACGACUUC
RNAcentral lists this non-coding RNA (28 nucleotides) under Bombyx mori (domestic silkworm). Lineage: Eukaryota; Metazoa; Arthropoda; Insecta; Lepidoptera; Bombycidae. The record is from RNAcentral.